Molecule: ribosomal RNA, 253 nt
Filed under: uncultured bacterium
Lineage: Bacteria
Description: partial 16S ribosomal RNA
Rfam family: Bacterial small subunit ribosomal RNA
Source: RNAcentral
CACGUAGGGCGCAAGCGUUGUCCGGAAUUAUUGGGCGUAAAGAGCUCGUAGGCGGACUGUCACGUCCGCUGUGAAAAGCUAGGGCUUAACCCUGGCCUUGCAGUGGAUACGGGCAGACUAGAGGUAGGUAGGGGAGAAUGGAAUUCCCGGUGUAGCGGUGAAAUGCGCAGAUAUCAGGAGGAACACCUAUGGCGAAGGCAGCUCGCUGGGACGUGACUGACGCUGAGACGCGAAAGCGUGGGGAGCAAACAGG